UAUGUAAGAUAGAAAAAGACAGCAUAUUAUAAAAACUACGUAAUUUUUAAGUUUGAAUUAAGUUUGGAUUAGAUUUAUUAAGUAAAGUCAUCUCCUUGGGCAGCCACAGCCCACCAUACGGAAUAUCACUAAUUAGUAUAAUUCUAUUUUAUACUUAUAAUAAAAACAAAAUCAAACAUAAGAUAAAAUAAAAUAAAAUAAAAUCAACAAUCUAAUUGCUUUGUUCGACAAACCUCUUGAGAGAAAGAGGCCUUGUACAUACAUUUUGCUCAUCAAUUAGUUUAAGUGACCCUUUUGGCCAUAAAGUAAGAUCAAACAUUUUCUUAACACAUAAUUACAACUUAAUUUACAAACUAACCAAGAGCAUGAUGAAAAACUUCAAAAUUCAAGUUUAAAAACCAAAAGCUUCCCAUUAUUUGAAAGCACAAAAACUACAUAGAAAACUUCAUUUAAGUCCAUCAUAUAUAGCAACAAUUCAUUUUGUUGAUCUAGCGUAUGUGUGUUUCCGCGGUAAAUUUUGACAUAAUCAAAACUUGCGACACCUUACUUAUUGUUUAUGCUGCAAUUCGACGAUGUGUGAGACAAUGAUGCGGAGAUUGAACACUAGAAGAAACAAUAACAUGCGUCGUCGAAGAAGUAGAAGAGGAAGAAACAUGGGUAGAAGAAGAUGAAGUUGUUUGAAUUUGAAACCGACCGGAAUCACCGGUUGGAAGUCUCAUGUAUGAAUAAGAAGGUGAUUCAGAAAUCCAUGAUCCUAUAGUAUCUUCUUUCCCACUCUUGUAUUGCAUAAUUGUCUUGUAAACCAAAGGAAUAAGACCCUCCAUUUUUUUUAUGAAUAGAGAAAAUGUGAAAGGUUUUGGAUUAGAAUAGUUUGAAUGUGAGGGAAGAAUGAGUAAUUUGUUGGGUAUAAAAACAAGUUGGUGGUGGGGUUAAGGGGUGAUGAUGUUUUGGAUUAGAGUCCAUAACUUCACGCUAUGCCAGGAGAUUUUCAAUGCAAACUCAUAUGGUCACCAUGAUAGAUAAGUUCCAACAAACAUUUAAUCUUAAAUUAGUGAAAAUUGGAGGAGUAAUGUCAUUCAAACACACAAAGUUGACAUAGUAUAGAAAAUAUAUAUCUAUUAUUAGUGUAUUUUAGAUUUCAAUAAAAGAAAAAUACUAUUAUUAAUUUUAAUUAGGUUUGGUUUGUCAAGAUAAUUAUUUUAAGGUUAUGCCAGUUUAUAUGGUAAAAGAUUACCUGUUUAAUAUUUAUUAUUUUUUAAUUUUUAAGUUAUAAGCUGCUUAA
RNAcentral lists this long non-coding RNA (1282 nucleotides) under Lathyrus oleraceus (garden pea). RNAcentral's name for it is "Pisum sativum (pea) long non-coding RNA (PSAT_LNC010919)". Lineage: Eukaryota; Viridiplantae; Streptophyta; Magnoliopsida; Fabales; Fabaceae. The record is from RNAcentral.